GACGAACGCUGGCGGCGUGCCUAAUACAUGCAAGUUGAGCGCUGAAGGUUGGUACUUGUACCAACUGGAUGAGCAGCGAACGGGUGAGUAACGCGUGGGGAAUCUGCCUUUGAGCGGGGGACAACAUUUGGAAACGAAUGCUAAUACCGCAUAAAAACUUUAAACACAAGUUUUAAGUUUGAAAGAUGCAAUUGCAUCACUCAAAGAUGAUCCCGCGUUGUAUUAGCUAGUUGGUGAGGUAAAGGCUCAACAAGGCGAUGAUACAUAGCCGACCUGAGAGGGUGAUCGGCCACAUUGGGACUGAGACACGGCCCAAACUCCUACGGGAGGCAGCAGUAGGGAAUCUUCGGCAAUAGACGAAAGUCUGACCGAGCAACGCCGCGUGAGUGAAGAAGGGUUUCGGAUCGUAAAACUCUGUUGGUAGAGAGGAACGUUGGUGAGAGUGGAAAGCUCAUCAAGUGACGGUAACUACCCAGAAAGGGACGGCUAACUACGUG
This 497-nucleotide ribosomal RNA is filed under the name uncultured bacterium. Its description in RNAcentral is "partial 16S ribosomal RNA". It matches the Rfam family "Bacterial small subunit ribosomal RNA", at positions 28 to 507 of the family's 1533-position model. The record is from RNAcentral.